GGGCCCGCACAAGCGGUGGAGUAUGUGGUUUAAUUCGAUGCAACGCGAAGAACCUUACCAGGGUUUGACAUCCUGCGAAUCUCUUGGAAACGAGAGAGUGCCUUCGGGAGCGCAGUGACAGGUGGUGCAUGGCUGUCGUCAGCUCGUGUCGUGAGAUGUUGGGUUAAGUCCCGCAACGAGCGCAACCCACGUCUUUAGUUGCCAGCAUUUAGUUGGGCACUCUAAAGGGACUGCCGGUGAUAAGCCGGAGGAAGGUGGGGAUGACGUCAAGUCCUCAUGGCCCUUAUGGGCUGGGCUACACACGUGCUACAAUGGUGAUGACAGAGGGCAGCUAACUCGCGAGAGUACGCUAAAUCCCUAAAAAAUCGCCUUAGUUCAGAUUGCACUCUGCAACUCGAGUGCAUGAAGUCGGAAUCGCUAGUAAUCGC
RNAcentral lists this ribosomal RNA (428 nucleotides) under uncultured bacterium. Its description in RNAcentral is "bacterial SSU rRNA". It matches the Rfam family "Bacterial small subunit ribosomal RNA", at positions 917 to 1345 of the family's 1533-position model. The record is from RNAcentral.